Molecule: long non-coding RNA, 234 nt
Filed under: Homo sapiens (human)
Lineage: Eukaryota; Metazoa; Chordata; Mammalia; Primates; Hominidae
Description: non-protein coding lnc-C15orf41-20:1
Source: RNAcentral
CAUUAGGAUUUUUGAAUGAAAGUGAGUGAGAGCUCAUAAGUGGGAGUUGAACAAUGAUAACUCAUGGACAUGAGCUUUUUGAGAAAAUGGUUUUGGGACAGUGCCCAUAUGAAUGCGGAAAUACUGCUUGAGGUAGAGGUGAGAGUUAGUAUUGAUAUGCUGGGCCUUUGAGUGGCUCCUUGACAUGAUGGUUGUCAAGCCCAAAGCCUUGAAACGAGGCAUUCUACAGGCAAA